AUCUGAAAAACCUAGAAAAGUUAAAGUUACACUACACACCAGGCUAUACAGCCUUUACCACCAGUACGAUUUGUUAGCAUCUCUCCAGCACUUCUGGACCGAGCUUUAAUGAGAAUGCAGUGUUACAACUACAAUAUGUAGCUUUUACUGACUUCUACCAAAUUGAAUGCAAGUAAUGGCAUAAAUCACCUCGUAAGAUUAACUGGCCACUUGUGAAAUUGCACAAAUGUCAGACAUUCACCCUGUGCCCAUACCAAUGAUAUUAACAGUUGGCACAUACAGUGGAAAAAUCCUGUCCUGUACUCAGGCAACUUCUUAGUUACCUAAAAUUAGGACCCUUUCGUCGCUGGUCCUAUAAGUAGCACAAACUCAGUAGCAAAAUUUCUUCUUGGUCGGGAACAUGGAACAUCCUGGUGGCGCCGUGUGUUAUUUGGUGAUCGCUCUAGUUAGGGCUAUAUCACACUAUACUACAAGGUGACCCGUACAGGAUGAGAAUAUCAUGAAACUAUUUGUUUCAUCUUAAUAUAUCGUCGUUUGAAAUGGUAAGCUUAAUGCUCACUUGUAGAUUCGAAACUGCUAGUAACGUAUAGAUUCCAAACUGCUACUACCCAGCUAUGCUAACUCUUACUUGGCUGCGCGGUGAUUUGAAAUGUGAAAUCCGCUGUGAUUGCCUUGUCGGCAAAUCUAACAGUUUUCAAUUAUGCAUUUAAUAAAUUAAUUGAAUUUCCAUAGUAACAAGAGAAUUUGCUACAUGGUGAGUUUACCCUAGAAUUGCCCUGUUUUAGAGAGGGCCCACGUGUUUGCCAUGCGGUGAAACAUUAGCCAGAUUCCAUUUGACCAAUCUAUAACGGUAGUAGUUUGCAGGCUAGGUAUGUAGCAGUUCGUAAUGUGUGUUAAAGGAUGACAGCACAAGACUAUAUAGUCUCUGAUACAGCAUGAUGGUCUUUCACAGUGCACUGAAAACGCAUGUUUAUACACCAACGAUUAUCACUGUAAUGUCACUUAUGAACGGUCAUCAGUGUUUCAACCUUCUUUCAGCAGUCUGCCGGGUAUGGAGGCUCUUGUGACUAUGGGCUCAAGCAAACCUUGGCAAAUUUUGUGCCCCCCUUAUCACCAGGCCUUCCACACACUCAACUGGUAAAGCCCAGUUACUGGACCUGGAGACCGGAUGUCUGUCUUUACAGUGGCUUGCAGGAGGGCAAGGUUCUUUCAUUUAAAGAUUGACUUGGAUGGAAUCAUGGUCUGUCUACAACCAAGCUAAAAGCUCCAGGUGUGAAGUUAUGAGGUGUUCCUGUACCUGGAAUGUGAUGUCGGUCUUUACAGGGGCUUGCAGGAGGGGAAGGUCCUUUCAUUUCAAGAUUGACUUGGAUGGAAUCAUGGUCAGUCUACGAUCAAGCUAGAAGCUCCAGUUGUGAAGUCAUGAGGUGUUGCUGUUAUGAAGAUCUACAUUAACUGCACUGGGACCCAACAACCUCCAAGACUCAUAAAUUCGAAAUAAAUUUCUUUAAAUUGAAUUGUGUGUGUGUGUGUUUUAACUGAAGUGGUGUUGGUUUGUAGAUUGUCCACUUAUGAUGCAGCUGCAGUAAACGCAGAACACAAGUGUUUUAUCUAAUGUUUUGUGACUCUCUUUGAAGCUUCUGCUAGAUACGUUGAUCAAUAUACAUUUCUGAUUCUGACAUAAGUAAUUGUUAUAGGCGGAUGUCUAAGAUUAUACGUUUAAAGUGUACAU
Molecule: long non-coding RNA, 1729 nt
Organism: Clupea harengus (Atlantic herring)
Lineage: Eukaryota; Metazoa; Chordata; Actinopteri; Clupeiformes; Clupeidae
Source: Ensembl